This 1158-nucleotide ribosomal RNA is filed under the name uncultured Helicobacter sp. RNAcentral's name for it is "bacterial SSU rRNA". It matches the Rfam family "Bacterial small subunit ribosomal RNA", at positions 288 to 1468 of the family's 1533-position model. Lineage: Bacteria; Pseudomonadati; Campylobacterota; Epsilonproteobacteria; Campylobacterales; Helicobacteraceae. The record is from RNAcentral.
CGGCCUGAGAGGGUGAACGGACACACUGGAACUGAGACACGGUCCAGACUCCUACGGGAGGCAGCAGUAGGGAAUAUUGCUCAAUGGGGGAAACCCUGAAGCAGCAACGCCGCGUGGAGGAUGAAGGUUUUCGGAUUGUAAACUCCUUUUGUUAGAGAAGAUAAUGACGGUAUCUAACGAAUAAGCACCGGCUAACUCCGUGCCAGCAGCCGCGGUAAUACGGAGGGUGCAAGCGUUACUCGGAAUCACUGGGCGUAAAGAGCGCGUAGGCGGGAUAGCAAGUCAGAUGUGAAAUCCUAUGGCUUAACCAUAGAACUGCAUUUGAAACUGUUAUUCUAGAGUAUGGGAGAGGUAGGUGGAAUUCUUGGUGUAGGGGUAAAAUCCGUAGAGAUCAAGAGGAAUACUCAUUGCGAAGGCGACCUGCUAGAACAUAACUGACGCUGAUGCGCGAAAGCGUGGGGAGCAAACAGGAUUAGAUACCCUGGUAGUCCACGCCCUAAACGAUGAAUGCUAGUUGUUGUGGAGCUUGUCUCUGCAGUAAUGCAGCUAACGCAUUAAGCAUUCCGCCUGGGGAGUACGGUCGCAAGAUUAAAACUCAAAGGAAUAGACGGGGACCCGCACAAGCGGUGGAGCAUGUGGUUUAAUUCGAAGAUACGCGAAGAACCUUACCUAGGCUUGACAUUGAUAGAAUCCUAUAGAGAUAUGGGAGUGCCCUUUUAGGGAGCUUGAAAACAGGUGCUGCACGGCUGUCGUCAGCUCGUGUCGUGAGAUGUUGGGUUAAGUCCCGCAACGAGCGCAACCCUCGUCCUUAGUUGCUAGCAGUUCGGCUGAGCACUCUAAGGAGACUGCCUUCGUAAGGAGGAGGAAGGUGAGGACGACGUCAAGUCAUCAUGGCCCUUACGCCUAGGGCUACACACGUGCUACAAUGGGGCGCACAAAGAGGAGCAAUACCGCGAGGUGGAGCAAAUCUCUAAAACGUCUCUCAGUUCGGAUUGUAGUCUGCAACUCGACUACAUGAAGCUGGAAUCGCUAGUAAUCGUGAAUCAGCCAUGUCACGGUGAAUACGUUCCCGGGUCUUGUACUCACCGCCCGUCACACCAUGGGAGUUGUAUUCGCCUUAAGUCGGGAUACUAAAUUGGUUACCGCCCACGGCGGAUG